AUACGGGGGGGGCAAGCGUUGUUCGGAAUUACUGGGCGUAAAGGGCGCGUAGGCGGGCUCGUAAGUCUGAGGUGAAAGUCCGCGGCUUAACCGCGGAAUUGCCUUUGAAACUGUGAGUCUUGAGUGUGAGAUGGGAAAGCGGAAUUCCCGGUGUAGCGGUGAAAUGCGUAGAUAUCAGGAGGAACACCAAUGGCGAAGGCAGCUCUCUGGACUAUUGCUGACCCUGAGGGACGAAAGCUAGGGGAGCGAACAGGAUUAGAAACCCCGGUAGUCC
RNAcentral lists this ribosomal RNA (274 nucleotides) under uncultured bacterium. RNAcentral's name for it is "partial 16S ribosomal RNA". It matches the Rfam family "Bacterial small subunit ribosomal RNA", at positions 523 to 796 of the family's 1533-position model. The record is from RNAcentral.